RNAcentral lists this long non-coding RNA (642 nucleotides) under Sorghum bicolor (sorghum). RNAcentral's name for it is "long non-coding RNA (SBIC_LNC000301)". Lineage: Eukaryota; Viridiplantae; Streptophyta; Magnoliopsida; Poales; Poaceae. The record is from RNAcentral.
ACAGGCAUGGAUAUAGAUCAUGACAUGGAUAGAUCAUGGAUCGACAAAUAUGCACAAGAUAGAUGAUAACAAGGUAAAGGUUUUUGUCGACAGAGAUUCAAAAGGUUCGACCUUGCAGUUGACGGGCUUCGGGUCACGAUCGUGGCGGUUCGGUGCUGGGUGGCUGCGCGACGUGUGUGGUCAGUGUCGCUGCCCUGCUGCUGCUCGGCGUCGCGACUGCUCGUACACGUCCCACGGCUUGGCGCAGAGGACGUCGCGGCGAGGUGGGGCGCUGGGCGAGGGCGACACGGCGUCGGGGUCGCGGCGUCGAGGUCGCCGAGCGAGGGCUCCGAGGGCGAGGCGUGUCGCGGACGCGGCGUCGCGACAGCGGGUGCGCGGGGACGGGGCUUGGCGCCGCAGGGCGUCCGCGCGGCCGGCCAGGUCGGUGUCGUGGCUCUUGGCGAGGUCGGCGUGGAGGGUGACGGGGCACGAGCACGGCGUCGCGGUCGGGGUCGAAGGCGGCUGGGCGUCGAGGGCUCCGGCAGCGUCGAGGCAGAAGCAUGACGAGGUGCUGUCGAAGACCGGCGUCGCGGCUCGGUGGCGCUCCAUGGCGGCGGCGGCUCAGCGUCAAGGUCGUCUGGGCGAGGUUCGGCCGGGGCUCGG